AGGUGGAGCGAGCCGAGCCGA
Molecule: unclassified non-coding RNA, 21 nt
Filed under: Mus musculus (house mouse)
Lineage: Eukaryota; Metazoa; Chordata; Mammalia; Rodentia; Muridae
Description: oocyte_clustered_small_RNA12993
Source: RNAcentral